CCUUGCUUUAGGUAAGGCAUUGUUAAGGCGUUUUCUUGACAUAUUUUAUAUUUGAAACAGGAGCUGUUACGCUGGAUACUACAUCUGAGCGUUAAUCCAACUUCUUUCACACAACUUUACCAGAAUAGGUGUUCUGGUCUACUUUCUAACUACACCAGUCAGAUGGACAACGCUCCACCAUCUGCUCUUCAGUAUGUCAGAAAUGGCAGGAAAAAUCUCAUGGAUCAACUCAAAUUUCCCAUUUCAACUGCCAAAGAGCUUAACCAGCAUGGUAUUCUCAGUGAGGAGGAACUCUGUGCUAUUAGAGGACAAUCUGGGAGGCCUGACGCAACAAGCAAAUUACUGGACAUGGUCAUUGCUAAAGGGGAGCAGGCUUGCUGUGAAUUACUUCAGUUACUGCAAAAUAUAUAUGCGUUGAAGUGGUAUGCAUUUUGUGACUCCCAUCCUUGCUAUAGUCGUCAACACAGUCCGGAAGAGGCUUUUCAUGACUGGAUCAAAAACAUCCCCCAAAGUCUGACAAAAGGGUCCAGAGAGACAUCGUUACCCAGAUUCAUUGGAAAUUAUCUGUACCUUGACGUGAAGGAGGAUGAAGAUGAGGCUGUGUUUGAAGAAGCUGGGGCAAUCAUGAAGCAGCAUCCAGAAAAGAUGCAACUGUAUUUGCACGUGGAUCAGGAUUUUCAACAUCUUGGUGAAGCCCUCAGGGACAUGAUAUUCAAAUGUUUGCCACAGAUCAGCAGAAUCAGUGUAAGAUCUACAGAUUCUGGAAUUGGUUCAAGGUAU
Non-coding RNA from Paramormyrops kingsleyae, 780 nucleotides. NCBI's taxonomy places the organism in Eukaryota, Metazoa, Chordata, Actinopteri, Osteoglossiformes, Mormyridae. The record is from RefSeq and is a predicted model, not a curated record.